This 222-nucleotide long non-coding RNA is filed under the name Elaeis guineensis (African oil palm). RNAcentral describes it as "long non-coding RNA (EGUI_LNC046517)". Lineage: Eukaryota; Viridiplantae; Streptophyta; Magnoliopsida; Arecales; Arecaceae. The record is from RNAcentral.
UCCAUCAUUAUACUUUGUAUAUAGCUUUAAGAAAAUAAUUCGCUUAUUUUUUUCUAUUUUCCUUUUUUUGUUUGUGCAUCAAUAACUAUAUCCAGACUUUGAUCUCCUAACUUGGCUUAAUGAUGGGGGUGGAGAGUGAGGAUUGUAUCUGGACCUAAUUUUAUUGGCUGCAAAAUUGAGAAAGUUUUAUAACCUUAAAGCUUAUCUCCAUGCGACUGGGCA